UACGUAGGGGGCAAGCGUUGUCCGGGUUUAUUGGGCGUAAAGAGCGUGUAGGCGGCCAGGUAGGUCUGCUGUGAAAACUCGAGGCUUAACCUCGAGCUGUCGGCGGAAACCAUCUGGCUAGAGUCCGGAAGAGGAGAAUGGAAUUCCCGGUGUAGCGGUGAAAUGCGCAGAUAUCGGGAAGAACACCCGUGGCGAAGGCGGUUCUCUGGGACGGUACUGACGCUGAGGGGCGAAAGCGUGGGGAGCGAACAGG
This 253-nucleotide ribosomal RNA is filed under the name uncultured bacterium. RNAcentral's name for it is "partial 16S ribosomal RNA". It matches the Rfam family "Bacterial small subunit ribosomal RNA", at positions 524 to 776 of the family's 1533-position model. The record is from RNAcentral.